Molecule: ribosomal RNA, 4452 nt
Filed under: Candidatus Aenigmatarchaeota archaeon
Lineage: Archaea; Nanobdellati; Candidatus Aenigmatarchaeota
Description: 23S ribosomal RNA
Rfam family: Archaeal large subunit ribosomal RNA
Source: RNAcentral
UAAAAGGAUAUGUUACGCUGCAUGGCGGCUGACUUGGUUCGAAUAUCGAUGAAGGACGUGGCAAGCUGCGAAAAUUCCGGGGUAGGUGCAAGCAGCCUUUGAACCCGGAGUCUCCUAAUAGGACUUCCUAGUCUAAGACUAUUCGCAUUAGCGAAGGUGGACGGCCCGAAUUGAAACAUCUUAGUAGGGCCAGGAAAAGAAAGCAAUCGCGAUUCCCUUAGUAAAGGCGAUCGAAAGGGGAACAGGACAAACCGAAUCCCUUAUUGAAAGAUAAGGGAGAUGUGGGGUUCGGACCCGCGCUCAGCCUAACUUCUCAAGCCGAAGUGAUCUGGAAAGAUUCACGACAAAGGGUGAUAGUCCCGUAGGGGUAAAGAAGAAGGUUGAUAUCGGGUAUCCAGAGUACCGCUGGUUGAAAAUCCAGUGGGAAUGUGGGGGUCACUAACCCCUAAUCCUAAAUAUAAUUCGAGUCCGAUAGCGCACUAGUACGGUGACGGAAAGUCGAAAAGCAUCCUUAACAGGAGCUGAAAAGAGCCUAAAACCAUGCAGUUAUAGGUCGGUAAGGCGCAUGCUUGCAUGUGUUUUGCCGUCCGUUUUGAAACACGCGGCAAGGAGUUUAUUUCCGUGGCGAGGAUAACAAAAGGUAUCCGUAGCGAAAGCGAGUACCCCGCAGCUUGCAAGGGGGUCAGGUGUGAAAGCGCCUGUAGUCACGGGGAUAAGACCUGAAGCCGGUCGAUCUAGCCCUGGGCAGGGUGAAGUCUAGCGAAAGCUGGAUGGAAGCCCGUUACCGUUGCUGAGAUUCAAAUCGCUCAGGUGACCUGGGGCUAGGAGUGAAAAUGGAUUGACGACUAGAAUUAAUCGGGUUAAGUCGUCCUUCCUUCAACGCUAAUCGAGAUCGGCAAUAGCUGGUUCCUCUCUAAAUGUGUCUAAGCACAGCCUGGCUGGAGGUAGAGCAUGGGGUAUAGAUACUGAUUGGGUAACCAAGGGGAGAAAAGCGCUUGGCAACUUGGAAAUAUUUGUUCAGGUUGCCCGUUCUCAUUCUCCAGUUAUCCUGUCAAACUCGGAAUCCAUGUUCGCCGUAGAAGGCCGGAGUGGGGGCGCUGGGGUAAGCUCAGUGUCCGAAAGGGCAAGAACCCAGACUAAAGUUAAGGUCCCUAAAUGUUGUCUAAGUGAAGAAAAGUGUCAUCAACCAUAUACAAUAGGGAGGUUGGCUCAGAAGCAGCCACCCUUUAAACGAGCGAAGGCUUGGAAUUAUCUGAUUAAGCCUUCAUUCGAAAGAAAGAGUGUGUAAUAACUCACCUAUCUAGGUUGUUGGCCUUGAAAAUGGACGGGACUAAGGCAACUACCGAUACUUUAGAUCACGAAAGUGAUAGAGUAGGGAGGUGUUCUGCUGGGGCAGAAGUUCUUCCGUAAGGGGGAAUGGACCCUGCAGAAAUAAGAAUCUUGCUGAAAGUAACAGCACUAGUGGAGUGAGACUCUCCACCACCUAAAGGGCUAGGGUUCCUCAGCAACGAUUAAAAGCUUGACGCUGACAAGUCAGCGUCGGUUUGUCGAAUCAGCUGAGGGUUAGUCGGUCCUAAGGCAUUUCCUAACUGGAGAAUGUCGAAAGGGAAACAGGUUAAUAUUCCUGUACCAUGAGAGUACGUGCGGCGACGCAAGCUCAGGGCCAGACUUUUUGGGAUAGGCUGACCAUUCCGAUGGUUAACACGUUAAGCCUGCGGAGUACCGUAAUGGUGAGAAGCAGGUGAAGCGUGGAAUAGCCCGUGUAUGCGGGUUUGGCCGACUCCUGGAAACCGUGAAAAUGGACCUGGGAAGGAUCUUUCAUGGCCGUACCGAGAACCGUUACUGGUGACCCUUGCUGAAUAGGUUAAGGUGUAUUAGGUUAAAUUACUCUAGGGAAUUCGGCAAAUUGGCCCCGUAUCUUUGGUAUGAGGGGUGCCUAGUCCCUUGGCUAAGCCAAGAAGAUUAGGUCACAGUGACAAGGGGGGUCCGACUGUUUAACAAAUGGGAAGCGCGGACAUCAUGUUUAUAUCUCACAUAGUAUAACAUUAAAUUAUGAUGAAUCCGUACCUGGUCGGACUUCUACUAGGAGAUGGAACAAGUCAUUUCAGAAAACAGAACUAUGCGUAUUCUGUAUGGAUUGACCAGAUAGAAAGAAACCGAAAAAUUGUUGAAAAAGCGAAGAGAGAAUUCGAGAAAAUGGGAUUGAAAGUCCAUUUUUAUUCUCACGGAAUAAAUAAAAUCAGAGCAUUGGUUUAUUCCAAGGAAAUAUACAAUGAAUUUCGUGAGUUGAAGAAGAAUCCAGUUCUUUGCUUUGAAAAAUUGAGCAAAAAAGGAAAAUUUGAAUUCAUUUCUGGUUUUUUCGAUGCGGAAGGCACUGUCACAGACAGAUUGGUUUUGUAUAACGGUGACUUAGAGAUUAUCAACAAAAUCAAAGAAUUCAUAGCCAAAGAAUUGAACGUGGUAGGCAAUGUUUAUAGGUACGGAAAAAUAUAUGGUAUGCAGAUUUACAAACGAGACCAUAUUAAGAAAUUUGUAAAAAAUACUGAUUGCGUAAAAUUUUCCGUUCGUUCUUCCCAGUUAAAAAACAUAGGAGGCUGCUAGUCGGAAACGAUUUGUAUAGCUUCUGAGGCCUGCCCAGUGCCGGUGUGUUAAGCUGGCCUACAAUCCAGUGAAGCCCCGGUAAACGGCGGCGGUAACUCUGACCGUUGACUUAGGCGGUCACAAAAUUUGGCUAUAUGCGGGAACUCCAUAGUAUUUCGGGUCCUGAGUAAGGAAAAAUCCCGGAAACGAUGAUGGAUAAUCCGCAGGAAACUGUUUGCUUCAUGGAGGUGGUUACCAUGAAGAAAAGCGAACAAGAGCUGAGCAAGCUCUUGAGAAAGAAACGUUAUCUGAGAUUUUACAUCUUGGGUUUCGUUGAUGCCGAGGGUUGUUUUAGCGUAUCACUAAAACAGCAGAAAACAACGAGAUUUGGCUGGGUACUUGAUCCAUUGUUCCAGGUAACUCAACACGAAACAAACAGAAUAGUUCUUGAACAGAUAAAAGGAGAAUUGGGUUGCGGAAGAAUAAUCGAAAAACCCGGUCAGAAAGAUACACUGAUAUAUUUGGUUGAUAACCGAAGACAGUUGAACGAAAAGGUAAUUCCGUUCUUUGAAAGAUACAGACUUGUUUCGAAGGAUGGCGAUUUCCAGAAGUUCAAAAAAAUCAUUAAAGGACUUGAAAACAAGGAACAUAGUAAAAUUGAAUCUUUCGUGAAACUGAUAAAAACGGCAUUCGAAAUGAACCUUGAGGGAAAACAGAGAAGAUACAAACUCGAAGAGGUUUUAAAGGAUUUGGAAAGCAAACAGAAUCCCCAGAGGCCAUACGCCAAACACUCAAGUGAGUGAAGAUAUGGUCCGACUCUUACAGUAAUGUAAGUCAGUUCGCUUAAGGUAGCGUAAUCCCUUGCCGAUUAAUUGUCGGCCUGCAUCAAGGGCUUAACGAGAUCCCCGCUGUCCUGGAGUAAUGCCUAGUGAAAUUAAUGUCCAGUGCAUAUUCUGGAGAACUUCAGUGGGACGAGAAGACCCCAUUGAGCUUUACUGCAGUCUGAUGCUGCGGUAUGAUGAUGGUUGCAUAGUGUAGGUGGGAGCGUCGAACCUGCGUCUUUGGGUGCAGGGAAUGCGCCAAUGUAACACCACCCCCCCGUCCUCAUAUCGCUUAUCCUUCGGGAGACACCAUUUGAUGGGCAGUUUGGCUGGGGCGGUACGCCUCUGAUAAGGGAUCAGAGGCGCCCUAAGGUCGGCUCAUUCCGGUCAGAAAUCGGAAUUAGAGUGUAAGAGCAAAAGCCGGCCUGAUAGGAUCCUACAAAGCAAGGGAUCCUAACGCGAAAGCGUGGUCUAGCGAUCCGCUGUGUCUUUAUUAGAUGAAAGCCAGCUCUGACAGAAAAGUUACCAUGGGGAUAAUGGAGUCGUGACGCGUGAGAGUCCAUAGCGCAUGACUGCUUGUUCAGUAUUUACAGGCAGUCCGUGGAUAUAUCGACCGCGUUCGUUGCUUCUCCGCCGUCGGCUCGGCUCUUCCUGGACGUGCAGCAGCGUCCAAGGGUGGGGGUGUUCACCCAUCAAAGAGCCACGUUAGCUGGGUUAAAUACGGUGCGAGCCAGUAUGGUCUAUAUCUACUGAAGUUGUCGGGAACCUGAGGGGAAGAAGCACUCAGUACGAAAGGAACAGUGCGUCGUGGCCUCUGGUCUACCAGUUGUGUAUACAUCGCUGGGUAGCUAUGCCAUUGUGGAUAAGGGCUGAAAGCAUCUAAGCCCGAAGCCACUCCUGAAAAUAGGUCCCCAAUCCUCAAACUGAUUGGCAACAACCGGCGCGAGGGAGAGGAUCCGGUACACGACCGGGUUGAUAGAAUCGGGGUGUAAGCACCAAGGCAACGAGGUGUUCAGCUUACGAUUACUAACGCUCCAAAAAUAUCCUGGUU